RNAcentral lists this ribosomal RNA (565 nucleotides) under uncultured bacterium. RNAcentral's name for it is "bacterial SSU rRNA". It matches the Rfam family "Bacterial small subunit ribosomal RNA", at positions 338 to 916 of the family's 1533-position model. The record is from RNAcentral.
CCUACGGGAGGCAGCAGUUAGGAAUCUUGCGCAAUGGGCGAAAGCCUGACGCAGCGACGCCGCGUGCGGGAUGACGGCCUUCGGGUUGUAAACCGCUUUCAGCAGGGACGAUUAUGACGGUACCUGCAGAAGAAGCCCCGGCCAACUACGUGCCAGCAGCCGCGGUAAUACGUAGGGGGCAAGCGUUGUCCGGAUUUAUUGGGCGUAAAGAGCUCGUAGGCGGUUUGGUAAGUCGGGUGUGAAAUCUCCACGCUCAACGUGGAGGGGCCACUCGAUACUGCCAUGACUCGAGUCCGGUAGAGGAGUGUGGAAUUCCCGGUGUAGCGGUGAAAUGCGCAGAUAUCGGGAGGAACACCCGUAGCGAAGGCGGCACUCUGGGCCGGAACUGACGCUGAGGAGCGAAAGCGUGGGGAGCAAACAGGAUUAGAUACCCUGGUAGUCCACGCCGUAAACGUUGGGCACUAGGUGUGGGGAUCUAUCGACGGUUUCCGUGCCGAAGCUAACGCAUUAAGUGCCCCGCCUGGGGAGUACGGCCGCAAGGCUAAAACGUCAAAGGAAUUGACGG